UACGGAGGAUCCGAGCGUUAUCGGGGAUUUAUUGGGUUUAAAGGGUGCGCAGGCGGGGGAUUAAGUCGGCGGUGAAAUUUUGCAGCUCAACUGUAAAAAGUGCCUUCGAAACUGGUUUCCUUGAGUGUAGAUGAAGUAGGCGGAAUUUGUGGUGUAGCGGUGAAAUGCAUAGAUAUCACGAGGAACUCCGAUUGCGCAGGCAGCUUACUAAACUACUACUGACGCUCAGGCACGAAGGCGUGGGGAUCAAACAGGAUUAGAUACCCUGGUAGU
RNAcentral lists this ribosomal RNA (273 nucleotides) under uncultured prokaryote. RNAcentral describes it as "partial 16S ribosomal RNA". It matches the Rfam family "Bacterial small subunit ribosomal RNA", at positions 524 to 794 of the family's 1533-position model. The record is from RNAcentral.